AACCGAGCGUGAGCGCCGGGCUGAGCAUGCGCUGAUGGAGAUGGUUGGACGCAGCACGCAUGCGGAUUACGGAAGGGCGAAGGGAGGGCGUUGCGACUCCGCCUCAGUGCGCGUGCGCUUCGCUGGAGGUAUGAGUGGGCGCACAGAAAAGAGGAAGAGGGGGCGACCCGGGAAAUUCGAGAUGCAGAAAAUGAAUCUGAAAGAGAAGAAGGGCUUACUGAAGUCCCCAUAGCCAGGAAGCAUCAGGGCCUGGAUUCAAACCCAAGCCUGCCUGCCUCUAGGGUGAGCCCACAGUUUUUCCCUGGCAACAGGCAGCCUGCCUAGCGGGUUGUUUGAGGAUUAGGUGAGGUGGAAUAUCUGGAUCCCUCAGCACAGGACCUGGCAUAUGUAAGCACUUGUGGUACAUUGUCUCCCAAGCUGGUUCCAGUAAUUCCUCCUCUCUGUGCCAAUGUGUGGCUUCUCCAACCAACAGACUGCCAUGCUGUGAGGAAGCCCGACUGGUCGCAUGGAGAGGCCUUGCAGAGGAGGAUCAAAGCAUCCUGGCCAAAAGCCCCAGUCCAGCCCCAACUGAAUUCAGCUGCUUGAGUGACCUCUGAAGAGACCAGAAGAAGUGCCCAGUCAACCCUCAGAAUCCUGAGAAAUA
Camelus dromedarius (Arabian camel) is the source of this 643-nucleotide long non-coding RNA. RefSeq lists it as uncharacterized. The record is from RefSeq and is a predicted model, not a curated record. Lineage: Eukaryota; Metazoa; Chordata; Mammalia; Artiodactyla; Camelidae. The transcript is spliced from 4 exons.